CAAAACCCCCAAUGUGAACGUUACCAAACUGUUGCCUCGGCGGGGUCACGCCCCGGGUGCGUCGCAGCCCCGGAACCAGGCGCCCGCCGGAGGAACCAACCAAACUCUUUCUGUAGUCCCCUCGCGGACGUAUUUCUUACAGCUCUGAGCAAAAAUUCAAAAUGAAUCAAAACUUUCAACAACGGAUCUCUUGGUUCUGGCAUCGAUGAAGAACGCAGCGAAAUGCGAUAAGUAAUGUGAAUUGCAGAAUUCAGUGAAUCAUCGAAUCUUUGAACGCACAUUGCGCCCGCCAGUAUUCUGGCGGGCAUGCCUGUCCGAGCGUCAUUUCAACCCUCGAACCCCUCCGGGGGAUCGGCGUUGGGGAUCGGGACCCCUCACACGGGUGCCGGCCCCGAAAUACAGUGGCGGUCUCGCCGCAGCCUCUCCUGCGCAGUAGUUUGCACAACUCGCACCGGGAGCGCGGCGCGUCCACGUCCGUAAAACACCCAACUUUCUGAAAUGUUGACCUCGGAUCAGGUAGGAAUACCCGCUGAACUUAAGCUAC
RNAcentral lists this ribosomal RNA (544 nucleotides) under Trichoderma asperellum. Its description in RNAcentral is "eukaryotic LSU rRNA". The stretch from base 171 to 324 matches the Rfam family "5.8S ribosomal RNA". The record is from RNAcentral. Lineage: Eukaryota; Fungi; Ascomycota; Sordariomycetes; Hypocreales; Hypocreaceae.